Molecule: signal recognition particle RNA, 97 nt
Filed under: Rhodospirillaceae bacterium
Lineage: Bacteria; Pseudomonadati; Pseudomonadota; Alphaproteobacteria; Rhodospirillales; Rhodospirillaceae
Also listed under: 1 other name
Description: signal recognition particle sRNA small type
Rfam family: Bacterial small signal recognition particle RNA
About the family: The signal recognition particle (SRP) is a universally conserved ribonucleoprotein involved in the co-translational targeting of proteins to membranes. Archaeal SRP consists of a 7S RNA and homologues of the eukaryotic SRP19 and SRP54 proteins.
Source: RNAcentral
GGAGGUUGGCGGCGGACGGUGCCCUCGCCAAUCCGGUCAGAUUCGGAAGGAAGCAGCCGUAACGAGAUUGUUCCGGGUCGUCUAACCAGCCUCCCAC